Danio rerio (zebrafish) is the source of this 115-nucleotide ribosomal RNA. NCBI's taxonomy places the organism in Eukaryota, Metazoa, Chordata, Actinopteri, Cypriniformes, Danionidae. The record is from Ensembl.
GCCGGCAGGUAGCUCUCUGCAACUCUCACAUGGUCGCCCACUGAAGCUAAGCAGGGCUGUGCCUGGUCAGUAUCUGUAUGGGAGACCACAUGGAAAAUCUAGGUUUCUGCUAGGU